AAUCCGUUCAGUACAAUGUAUAUUGUGUUUGGAAAAACUACACCGAUAUUUCAAACCGAUAGCAAUAAUGCAUACUUCAUUUCAGAUGCCAGAACACGGAUUCGUGAACAUUUAAGCAGGGUACAUUUUCGACGCUUUUUUGGAAGAAGGAGACAACGAUAUGACAUUAGCACGACACCUAAUGCAUAUUGGUAUAAUGGAAGAAGUCAGGAAGGUCAAAUGCA
Long non-coding RNA from Dreissena polymorpha, 224 nucleotides. RefSeq lists it as uncharacterized. The record is from RefSeq and is a predicted model, not a curated record. The transcript is spliced from 3 exons. NCBI's taxonomy places the organism in Eukaryota, Metazoa, Mollusca, Bivalvia, Myida, Dreissenidae.